GUUGUGAGUGGCUACGGCGAUGUACCAAUGGCCGCCACGGCAUUUAGGGCAGGUGCUGUGGAUUUUAUCGAAAAACCUCUGGCCAGGCAGUCUUUGCUGUUGGCUGUUGAGUCCGCGCUCGGGCGAGAUCCCCGGAGUCGCCACAUUGUGGGCAAAGUGCUUACCAAAACAGAGACCAAGAUUCUGCGUUUGAUUCUGGAUGGCAAGAGCAACAAGGAAAUAGCCAGGUUGCGACACCGG
Molecule: ribosomal RNA, 240 nt
Filed under: uncultured eukaryote
Lineage: Eukaryota
Description: partial small subunit ribosomal RNA
Source: RNAcentral